GAUGAAGAACGCAGCGAAAUGCGAUAAGUAGUGUGAAUUGCAGAAUUCAGUGAAUCAUCGAAUCUUUGAACGCACAUUGCGCCCCUCGGUAUUCCUUAGGGCAUGCCUGUUCGAGCGUCAUUUAAACCUUCAAGCUAAGCUUGGUGUUGGGUGACUGUCCGCUUCACUGCGGACUCGCCUCAAAAUUAUUGGCGGCCGGUACAUUGGCUUCGAGCGCAGCAGAAACGCGAACUCGGGCCCGUCGUAUUGGCUCCCAGAAGCUAUCUUCACAAUUUUGACCUCGGAUCAGGUAGGGAUACCCGCUGAACUUAAGCAUAUCAAUAAGCGGAGGA
This 332-nucleotide unclassified non-coding RNA is filed under the name soil metagenome. RNAcentral's name for it is "partial contains 5.8S ribosomal RNA, internal transcribed spacer 2, and large subunit ribosomal RNA". The stretch from base 1 to 120 matches the Rfam family "5.8S ribosomal RNA", at positions 35 to 154 of the family's 154-position model. The record is from RNAcentral.